Molecule: ribosomal RNA, 800 nt
Filed under: uncultured bacterium
Lineage: Bacteria
Description: bacterial SSU rRNA
Rfam family: Bacterial small subunit ribosomal RNA
Source: RNAcentral
GGGGGGUGUUACUGUCAGGUCGCACGAAGCACUUAGGACAGAUUACUUCUGGUUUGAAGUCCUAUUUGACUGAGUGGCGCACGGGUGAGUAACGCGUGGGUAACCUGCCUCAUACAGGGGGAUAACAGUUAGAAAUGACUGCUAAUACCGCAUAAGCGCACAGUCUCGCAUGGGACAGUGUGAAAAACUCCGGUGGUAUGAGAUGGACCCGCGUCUGAUUAGCUGGUUGGUGAGGUAACGGCUCACCAAGGCGACGAUCAGUAGCCGGCCUGAGAGGGUGAACGGCCACAUUGGGACUGAGACACGGCCCAAACUCCUACGGGAGGCAGCAGUGGGGAAUAUUGCACAAUGGGGGAAACCCUGAUGCAGCGACGCCGCGUGAAGGAAGAAGUAUUUCGGUAUGUAAACUUCUAUCAGCAGGGAAGAAAAUGACGGUACCUGACUAAGAAGCCCCGGCUAACUACGUGCCAGCAGCCGCGGUAAUACGUAGGGGGCAAGCGUUAUCCGGAUUUACUGGGUGUAAAGGGAGCGUAGGCGGUUCAGCAAGUCAGAAGUGAAAGCCCGGGGCUCAACUCCGGGACUGCUUUUGAAACUGUUGAACUAGAUUGCAGGAGAGGUAAGUGGAAUUCCUAGUGUAGCGGUGAAAUGCGUAGAUAUUANGAGGAACACCAGUGGCGAAGGCGGCUUACUGGACUGUAAAUGACGCUGAGGCUCGAAAGCGUGGGGAGCAAAUGGGAUUAAAUACCCUGGUAGUCCACGCCGUAAACGAUGAUUACUAGGUGUCAGGCGCCAUAGGCGUU